CCUACGGGGGGCAGCAGUGAGGAAUAUUGCGCAAUGGGGGGAACCCUGACGCAGCGACGCCGCGUGAGUGAGGAAGGCCUUCGGGUCGUAAAGCUCUGUCAAGAGGGAAGAAGUGCACUAUGGUUAAUACCCGUAUUGCUUGACGGUACCUCUAAAGGAAGCACCGGCUAACUCCGUGCCAGCAGCCGCGGUAAUACGGAGGGUGCGAGCGUUGUUCGGAAUCACUGGGCGUAAAGGGCGCGCAGGCGGUUUGGCAAGUCAGAUGUGAAAUCCCAUGGCUUAACUGUGGAAGUGCAUUUGAAACUGCCAGGCUUGAGUACCAGAGGGGAAAGUGGAAUUCCCGGUGUAGAGGUGAAAUUCGUAGAUAUCGGGAGGAAUACCGGUGGCGAAGGCGACUUUCUGGCUGGAUACUGACGCUGAGGCGCGAAAGCGUGGGGAGCAAACAGGAUUAGAUACCCUGGUAGUC
Molecule: ribosomal RNA, 466 nt
Filed under: uncultured Desulfobulbus sp.
Lineage: Bacteria; Pseudomonadati; Thermodesulfobacteriota; Desulfobulbia; Desulfobulbales; Desulfobulbaceae
Description: bacterial SSU rRNA
Rfam family: Bacterial small subunit ribosomal RNA
Source: RNAcentral